GUGAACUCCGCUUGCGGGGGGAUCAGUGGCGAACGGGUGAGUAACACGUGGGCAACCUGCCCUCAGCUCUGGGAUAACUCCAAGAAAUUGGGGCUAAUACUGGAUACGACCGCUGACCGCAUGGUCUGGUGGUGGAAAGAUUUAUCGGCUGGGGAUGGGCCCGCGGCCUAUCAGCUUGUUGGUGGGGUAGUGGCCUACCAAGGCGACGACGGGUAGCCGGCCUGAGAGGGUGACCGGCCACACUGGGACUGAGACACGGCCCAGACUCCUACGGGAGGCAGCAGUGGGGAAUAUUGCGCAAUGGGCGAAAGCCUGACGCAGCGACGCCGCGUGGGGGAUGACGGCCUUCGGGUUGUAAACCUCUUUCAGCAGGGACGAAGCGAAAGUGACGGUACCUGCAGAAGAAGCACCGGCCAACUACGUGCCAGCAGCCGCGGUAAUACGUAGGGUGCAAGCGUUGUCCGGAAUUAUUGGGCGUAAAGAGCUCGUAGGCGGUUUGUUGCGUCGGCUGUGAAAACCUGAGGCUCAACCUCAGGCCUGCAGUCGAUACGAGCAGACUAGAGUGUUGCAGGGGAGACUGGAAUUCCUGGUGUAGCGGUGAAAUGCGCAGAUAUCAGGAGGAACACCGGUGGCGAAGGCGGGUCUCUGGGCAACAACUGACGCUGAGGAGCGAAAGCGUGGGGAGCGAACAGGAUUAGAUACCCUGGUAGUCCACGCCGUAAACGUUGGGCGCUAGGUGUGGGGCUCAUUCCACGAGUUCCGUGCCGCAGCUAACGCAUUAAGCGCCCCGCCUGGGGAGUACGGCCGCAAGGCUAAAACUCAAAGGAAUUGACGGGGGCCCGCACAAGCGGCGGAGCAUGUUGCUUAAUUCGAUGCAACGCGAAGAACCUUACCUAGGCUUGACAUGCACGGAAAUCCUCCAGAGAUGGUGGGUCCGCAAGGGUCGUGCACAGGUGGUGCAUGGUUGUCGUCAGCUCGUGUCGUGAGAUGUUGGGUUAAGUCCCGCAACGAGCGCAACCCUCGUUCUAUGUUGCCAGCACGUGAUGGUGGGGACUCAUAGGAGACUGCCGGGGUCAACUCGGAGGAAGGUGGGGAUGACGUCAAAUCAUCAUGCCCCUUAUGUCUAGGGCUGCAAACAUGCUACAAUGGCCGGUACAAAGGGCUGCGAUACCGCGAGGUGGAGCGAAUCCCAAAAAGCCGGU
RNAcentral lists this ribosomal RNA (1202 nucleotides) under uncultured bacterium. Its description in RNAcentral is "bacterial SSU rRNA". It matches the Rfam family "Bacterial small subunit ribosomal RNA", at positions 69 to 1286 of the family's 1533-position model. The record is from RNAcentral.